RNAcentral lists this transfer RNA (76 nucleotides) under Oscillochloris sp. RNAcentral describes it as "tRNA-Asp". Lineage: Bacteria; Bacillati; Chloroflexota; Chloroflexia; Chloroflexales; Oscillochloridaceae. The record is from RNAcentral.
GCCGCAUUGGUGUAGUAGCGAACAUUCCCGUUUGUCAAACGGGCGAGGACCGGGGCGGAUCCGGUAUGCGGCGCCA